RNA transcript from Phyllostomus hastatus (greater spear-nosed bat), 3488 nucleotides. It is a transcript of the gene named GTP dependent ribosome recycling factor mitochondrial 2, with no coding region annotated. The record is from RefSeq and is a predicted model, not a curated record. The transcript has 22 exons. Lineage: Eukaryota; Metazoa; Chordata; Mammalia; Chiroptera; Phyllostomidae.
GCCAGAGGGGGCAGAAGUGAGAAGGUAUAGGUUCGGUUCUGGAAUAACCGGGACGUUCGCAGAGGUAGGCGGACGUUGCAACUUGAGGCCUCUGCAGACUGUCGAGCUGCCACGACCUGUCGCUCUCCACAGCUUGUAGAGAGAAAGCCGGCCUCCGGGAUGCGAUUCAGUGUCAGAGAGUAACAGUUUAGAAGGCCAAGAUGUCUAAUUUGAGGAUAUUUGCAGUGAAUCAUAAGAAAAUAUCUAGCUUGCACAUUAAUAAUAUGUAUUGCUCUAGAAUUACAUCAAGUUUAAAAAGAAUAAAGACACACGUGCCUCUUGGAAGAAAUUACAGUUCCCUGCCAGGUUUAAUAGGAAAUGAUAUCAAAUCUCUUCAUUCCGUCAUCAGUCCCCCUGUAGCUAAGAUCCGUAAUAUUGGAAUUAUGGCUCAUAUCGAUGCAGGCAAAACUACCACCACAGAAAGAAUACUGUACUAUUCUGGAUACACAAGAUCAUUGGGAGAUGUUGAUGACGGAGACACGGUGACAGAUUUCAUGGCUCAAGAGCGAGAGAGAGGCAUUACUAUUCAGUCAGCUGCGGUUACGUUUGACUGGAAGGGGUACAGAGUCAACCUCAUUGACACACCAGGUCAUGUGGACUUUACUUUGGAGGUCGAGCGCUGCCUAAGAGUGUUAGAUGGUGCGGUGGCUGUAUUUGAUGCCUCUGCUGGUGUAGAGGCACAAACUCUCACCGUAUGGAGGCAAGCUGAUAAACACCAGAUACCUCGAAUCUGUUUUUUAAACAAGAUGGACAAAACUGGAGCAAGUUUUAACUAUGCAGUUGAAAGCAUCAGAGAGAAGUUGAAGGCAAAGCCUUUGCUUUUACAGUUACCAAUUGGUGAAGCCAAAAAUUUCAAAGGAGUGGUGGAUGUAGUAAGGAAAGAAAAGCUCCUUUGGAAUUCCAAUUCAGAUGAUGGAAAAGACUUUGAGAGAAAACCCCUCUUGGAAAUGAGUGAUCCUGAAUUGCUGAAGGAGGCAACUGAAGCAAGGAAUGCCUUAAUUGAACAAGUUGCAGAUUUGGAUGAUGAAUUUGCUGACUUGGUUUUAGGAGAAUUUAGUGAAAAUUUUGAUCUGGUACCAGAUGAAAAGCUACAGACUGCAAUCCACAGAGUAACCCUGGCGCGGAUGGCAGUGCCUGUGCUUUGUGGGAGCGCCCUGAAAAACAAAGGGGUCCAGCCCUUGUUAGAUGCCGUUACUAUGUAUUUGCCUUCACCCGAAGAGCGCAACUAUGAAUUUCUGCAGUGGUACAAGGAUGACUUAUGUGCACUGGCAUUCAAAGUUCUCCAUGACAAGCAGCGGGGACCACUGGUUUUUAUGCGCAUUUACUCAGGCGUGAUAAAACCCCAGUCGGCCAUCCAUAAUAUUAAUGGAAACUGCACGGAGAGAAUAAGUCGUCUACUUUUGCCAUUUGCUGACCAACAUGUAGAAAUCCCUUCACUGACUGCUGGCAACAUUGCUUUGACUGUUGGACUUAAACAUACAGCCACUGGAGACACCAUCGUCUCAUCCAAGUCCAGCGCAUUGGCUGCAGCUCGUCGAGCCGGAAGGGAAGGGGAAAAGAAGCAUGAACAAAACAGUGAGGCAGAGAGACUCUUACUGGCUGGGGUGGAGAUUCCAGAACCUGUGUUCUUCUGUACCAUAGAACCUCCUUCGGUGGCUAAGCAGCCAGAUUUGGAUCAUGCAUUGAAGUGCCUUCAGCGUGAAGAUCCCAGUUUGAAAGUGAAGCUUGAUCCUGACUCUGGACAGACUGUCCUAUGUGGAAUGGGGGAGUUACAUAUUGAGAUUAUUCAUGACCGCAUCAAGAGGGAAUACGGCCUGGAAACCUACCUGGGGCCUCUUCAGGUGGCAUACCGAGAGACCAUCCUAAAUCCAGUUCGUGCCACAGAUACCUUAGAUAGAACUUUAGGAGACAAACGGCAUCUUGUGACUGUGGAACUGGAAGUAAAACCAAUGGAAACAUCAUCUGUUACACCAGUUAUUGAGUAUGCUGAAAGUGUUAGUGAAGACAUUUUGAAGGCCUCCCGCGAGGCCAUUGAGAAUGGAAUUCACAGUGCAUGCCUCCAAGGACCAUUGCUUGGAUCUCCAGUUCAAGAUGUGGCAAUUACUUUACAUUCACUGAUAAUUCAUCCUGGUACCUCCUCAACUAUGAUUUCUGCCUGUGUCUCAAGAUGUAUACAAAAGGCUCUGAAGAAAGCUGAUAAGCAAGUCUUAGAGCCCCUGAUGAAUCUUGAGGUUACAGUGACUAGAGAUUACCUGAGCCCUGUCCUGGCAGAUCUGGCACAAAGACGAGGGAACAUUCAGGAAAUCCAGACUCGUCAGGACAACAGAGUUGUUAUUGGAUUUGUUCCCUUAGCAGAAAUUAUGGGUUAUUCAACUGUGCUUCGGACGCUAACAUCGGGCUCAGCUACCUUUGCCCUAGAACUGUCUAAUUAUCAAGCCAUGAACCCUCAAGACCAAAGUACACUGCUCAGCCGUAGAAGUGGAUUGACCUAAGUGCUUCUAGGUCCUUGGACAGAAAUUGAGGAGCACCUACCUAUUCGUUAUCAGUGUAGCACUGAAGGAAAAUGAAGUUAUUUUUUCAAAGAGCUGUACUACUGAGAAAUCUCAUCUAUGCCAAAAGGAUGAGGAGAUGUCCUUCACUGUCUGCGGGGCUGUGUAAGGACGAAGAUCGCACUCUGUUAUGCACAUCGUCCUCCCUAUUGUUACGCCCGGCCCACCAGUCAGCUCUCUGCGCUACUCCGUAUGGCCCGUGUCCUCACAGUGCUCCUCUUUCAUCCCCUGGUUCAGUUCGUCACUGUCCUGGGCCAGUGCACCCCAUGGAAAAGGCCUGCCCACUUGUUCAUUCCUUCCAGCAAACUAGGGGAGAACCUUAGAAAAUGUUCGAGGCAACAAAAAAAUCAUGUAGCUAAAUCUUGAUUAUAUUAUUGAGCAAGUGAAAUAGCUGCCCCACCUCGGGUUUUGCAUUACCUUGUGUGAGAUUAGAUUAUAAGUAGAGAUCACACAUAUAAGCACAGAUAUGUCGUCAAAAUAAAAGUCAAGAAAUUACCUAGAUGUCCAAAAAUAAGAGGUUAGCCAAGUUAGUUAUGGCACACCCAGGCAAAAGUAUUUAGUGAGAUACAUGUUUAUAAUGUACAAUAUUAUUACUUUAAAAAAGCAAAAUACAAAACCAUGCAUAUAGAAUUAACCCCAUUUUCAUGUUAUUAUCAUGCUUAUAUUUAUAUAUGUAAAAUAUUUAAACUUACUGCUCUUUUUAAAAAUCUGAAAUAGCCAGGGUUAACUGAGUGCUAGAAUUAUGAGUAAUUUAUUUCUUCCUCUCCACUUACUGUACUUUUACCAUCAGACUUUAAUGGUAAUUUAAAAAACAGGAAUUAAAAACUCACUAGCCAAGAACUCACAAUAGUUUAUGGCACAGAGACUGCUUUGGGCACUUCAGUCUGCAACAGCUUUUGA